Molecule: long non-coding RNA, 6602 nt
Filed under: Trifolium pratense (red clover)
Lineage: Eukaryota; Viridiplantae; Streptophyta; Magnoliopsida; Fabales; Fabaceae
Description: long non-coding RNA (TPRA_LNC002873)
Source: RNAcentral
CGUGAAAGAGACAAAGUAUCCAAUUUUUGAAGUUUGGAGAAGUGCUGAAAAUUGACAACACCACUCAAGUUGUUUGAUGAAAGACAUAGUGUAGCUAGGUUUGCAAAGUUGAAAAUAGAUUCUGGAAUAUCUCCUUGUAGUUUGUUGCUGCAUAGUUUAAGAUAAUACAAAGAAUAUGAUGAAAUGACACUUAUAUUUCCUGUAAAUUGAUUAUUUGAUAGAUCCAACAUUCCUAAAGAUGGUAAAGAUAAACACCACGAAGGAAUUUUUCCACUUAGUAAGUUGUUAUUCAAAAAUAAAUAACCUAAGUUUUGGAACCCUGAUAUUUCCUCAGGUAGAGGACCCUUUAAUUUAUUAUUAGAAAAGUCUAAGUAAUCAAGUUGAGAUAACCUAAACAAUGAAGGUGGAAUUUGCCCUUCUAAUCUAUUAUAACCCAGACGGAGUUCUUGUAAUUUGGUUAGUCCGUCAAACACAUCUGGAAUUUGACCACUAAAUGAAUUGGAAGACAGGUCUAAAUUGAUAAGAUGUUGAAGGUUUGAAAGUGAUUUUGGCAACUGGCCAUCAAUUUUGUUACUACUCAAAUCUAACUUUUGAAAUCUAUUUGAUUUGGGAAAUACAUCCGGGAUUUGACCACUUAUGAACAAAUUAUCUUUGAGAGACAAAGAAGUUAGAUUUUGUAGGGUUAAAAGUGAGGAUGGGAUUGAACCAUUAAGUCUGUUAUCAAUGAGACUUAAGGAUGUAAGAUAUGUGAGGUUAGAGAAAGAAAGAGGAAUUGGCCCUGUGAAUGAACAAUAUGAAAGAUCCAAGAUUCUAAGAAAAGUGCUACAACUUAAAUUUGGAAGUUGGCCUUCAAGGUAGUCAUUUUUUGAUAAAUCUAACUCUUGAAGACUCGGUAAACAAAGAAUGUUGUUUUUCCAAUUUCCACUUAUUCCUGAUCUUUGAAGAUUAAGAUUAGUCAAAGAGGAAGAUUGAUUGAAUAUCAAAUUCAACGAGUUUGGAUGGAUUGAAGACAUAUUUGUUUCAUCCAAAAUUAACUCUUCCAAAAUUGUUGCAUUUUGCACAAGGCUUUUCAAAGUGGUUUCUUUCCAACUUAACUGACCAUUUCUAGAAAGAUGAAGUGAUAUUAAUUUGGAAAGGUGUGAGAUUUGAGGAGGAACUUCACCUUGAAAGUUACAUGAAGACAAGUCAAGAUGUGUAAGAUUCUGAAAUCCACCAAACUUAGAAUGAAAAUGAGUGCCAAAGAAAUCAUUGUAAGAAAGGUUGAGUGAUUGUAGGUGAGAAAGCUGAAAAAGGGUACUAUUAGAAUAAAUAUUACCUUGAAGACUUUCACAUCCAAGGUCGAGACCAAUCACAUUAGCAGAGACAGUAUCACAGGUGACACCAUGCCAUGAACAACAAUUUGUCCCAUUUUUCCAUGUUGAUGUUUUUUGAGGUUGUUCCUGACAAGCAUAGUUUGUAUAUGUAGUGAAUGAGGACUUGAAUUGAAGCAAGGCAUAGCUAUCUUCAGGAUGACAUAAGAAAUUAGAAGAAGAUAAAGAAAAUGAUGGAAAAUUGAAGAGCAAAAUAUGCAAAUACAGAAGAAACAACCUCAUGGUGGUGAAGUUAUUUUAAUUGAAUUCAAAUAUUUUGUGAGAAGGGUUAAAAGUUUAUUGCAUGAAAUAAUAGGAAGACAGCAUUAAUAUAUAUAUAUAUAUAUGUCACGACCCAAUCUCGGAUCAUGACCGGCGCACAAGCUAACACUACCUCAUCAUAUCGUAAGCCCGUGCAAGCCUAAUACACUAGCUAUAAUCUAUACACUAUAACAAAUAUACUUAUUAAAAUAUAUAGUUACUGAAAUUAUAGCUCGACAGGGAGGAUCCCUGGUCCUACGUAUCCCUUAACAAUUAGGGAAUCAGAGCCACGUAGUUCUCUAAGUGUUGAUUAACUAUCAACAAAGUAUAUAUAAAAAAACUAUCUCAUUUCAUUCUAUACACAUAGACCACAUUAUCUCUUCGUUGUGGUGAACGGAUACCUAUACCACAUUAUCUCUUCGUUGUGGCGAACGAAUACCACAUUAUCUCUUCGUUGUGGCGAACGGAUACCACAUUAUCUCUUUGUGGUGGCAAACGGAUACCUAUACCACAUUAUCUCUUCGUUGUGGCGAACGGCUAUACCACAUUAUCUCUUCAUUGUGGCGAACGGUUAUACCACAUUAUCUCUUCGUUGUGGCGAACGGAUACCUAUACCACAUUAUCUCUUCGUUGUGGCGAACGGCUAUACCACAUUAUCUCUUCGUUGUGGCGAACGAAUACCACCUUAUCUCUUCGUGGUGGCGAACGAAUAUCUACUUAAAAUAUACUAUGAACAAUUGUUCAUAGGCUGCAAACGGCUAAUUUUAUAUUCACAAAAAUGUGUCAAAAUAUACUUUAAAACAAAUUGCAUAACUUAAAUCAAUUCGCGGUAUCGUAACAACUUCUAUAAAGCCACAAUUUAUUUAUUUUUACUACUUUGCACCACCAAAAUCAAAUCUUUAAAGUAAAUAAAAUAAUGAAAUGAGUUUCACUUUUUAAGAAAAUUUGUUUCUCUCAUAAAAAUAAUAACAUAGAAAACUUUGCCGCAAGAUAAAUUNNNNNNNNNNNNNNACUCACAAAAAUAUGUAAUUAUUCUCGAACCACAUGUUCAUUCUUAUCUUUUCUUUAGUUAUAAAUUAAAAGGAAGCCAUGCUCAUUGGGAAAAAGUAUCUAUAAAUAUUCUUCUAAUUCUCUAUUCAUUUUAAAAUGCGGAAUUUUACCUCCUCUAUUUUAUAAUUUGUUGGAUUUUUCCCACCACCAAAUUUCUGCACAAAAUCUGCUUCUGAGCCUCAAGUUCAAAGUUUUGCACAUAACUCAAUUUGGAUCAAUAAUUCACCAAACUGGUACCGAAAUAACUGUAAUCAAUUUAGUUACAGAGAGAGAUUAAUUACACUAAAUUUGGAGUUACAGAGAGAGAUUAAUUACCGUUUUAGUGAAUGUCUGUUCAAAUGAAUUAUCGUAUGAAACUACUACUGGUUUUUUCGUCAUGCUUCUCACCCUGUAGUUCAUUUUUUAAUACUAUUUACAUGUAUGGAAAGAUAAAGAAAUUACCCUUGUUGGCGUUUCAAUUUCGUCGAAUUUGGAGUUACGAUGCGUUCGGUAGACGAUGUUGAAUUUGAAGAUCACAAGUAGAUUUCUGCAGAAUUAGUAAUUGGACAGACCUUCACUAAAACGGUAAUUAAUAUCUCUCUGUAACUCCAAAUUUAUUGGGGUUUGAUUCUGUGGAAAUCUAACUCGAUUACGGUCGUUUCGGUAUCAGUUUUGUGAAUUAUUUAUCCAAAUUGAGUUUUGUGCGAAGCUUUGAACUUGAGGCUCAGAAGCAGAUUUUGUGCAGAAUUUUGGUGGGGGGCAAAAUCCAACAAAUUAUAAAAUAGGGGGGGUAAAAUUCCGCAUUUUAAAAUAUGAGGGUAAAAUUCCGUAUUUUUCAAAACAUGAGGGUAAAACUGCAUUUCCAUACAUGUAAAUAGUAUUAAAAAAUGCCAACAAAUCUAUGAAAGCGGUUCACCACAUAAUUCAUCCGACCUUAUCUAUAUAUCAAUCCCAAGCAACAUACAUGUCCAGUCAAGUCAACAUCAAAGUAUCCUGCUGCUGAUGCACUGUCAAGAAUGUAAAUGAGAUAAGAUAUUAAAUAUCAUCAUAUAGAUAUCUAUCUAUGAAGAUAAAAAUUGGUGAUUAGAAUUCACAAACAAGUUUUUAUAGAUAUAUAAUGAGAUUUUCUUUUGUCACUGUAUCAAUUUCCCGCGCACCCUACAAGUUUCCGUUUUUACCAUUCCACUACUUAAGUAUUAGAUGUUAUAAAAACGAGAAAUUUGAGGAAAAAACACCCUACAUAAAAUUCAAGAUUUUAAACGUCAGCUACUAAAGUAGCCGAUAGAAUCCGCUACUUAAGUAGUGGAUUUUGUAGGGCAUGGGUAAGGUAGCAUUUGAUAUUUUGUUUCAUCUGAUUUUUAUUACUUGAGUGAUUUUGUUGCUUAUUUUCUGUGACUUAGUAUUUAUCAUUAAUUACAAAUGAUUAAUAUUCACAAUGCCUAACACCUGAUAUGCAAUUGUUGUGGCAGCAUAUCAAUCAUCAAAAAGGGAAUCAGGGCUUUGCUCUCAGUUCUAAUCAAAUAGUUAUUGGCAAGGUCUUUCUGAGCAUUUCUUGAUUACACAUUUAAUGUCACAUAAGCAAUUUAUUGGUUAGCUAACAACAAAGGUGGUUCGGUAUCUUCAUAUUCAUAUAGCAUCAAGAGUUUCUAUGAUAUGUCAUGUAAAUUGAUUCAAUGUAAAUUGACAUGUCAUGUAAAUUGCUCUAUUUUACAACUUACCAACUAUCAUUCUUAUUCAAUCUCACCUAUUUCUCAACUUACGAAUGAUCAUUCUGUUUGCGACUGAUUUUUAUUUAAAACAUUCAUGCAAUAAUGUUUGCUGUGACAGAUGACAUUUUUGUUAUAUCUUCCUGUAACUAAGGCGCGACAAUGCUUCUAUGUACUGAACAUAUAAAUGAUGAUGCAUGUGUGUGAGGUAAAAACAAAAUGGUAAAAACAAAAUUUUGAUGUCAAUGCAAAACUAGUGUACACCAUGGAUAGAACUAUUAUGUAUCAUUGGCUUCAUACAACUCGUGUUGUAGCACAAUACAGUCACUGUACAAACAUACAACAACCUGAAUUAAAACUAGCUAGAUCAAAUAAGAGUGACAACAUCGUCACACUCAAAUCAAGCUAAUUUUGAACAGUAGGUAAAAACUAACAUAGUAGCGAAAAUAAUGACAACAAUAAAACUACGACAUUGGCACCAUUUGAUUGAUCGUUGAACCAUUAGUCCUCCUCACUCUAGUCCUCCUCCUGUUCAUUCUUCUCGUAGGCUGACCACCAAAUAUCAUCACAAGCCAUCUUGGCUUUCCAAUUAAAAACACAAAAUAUCCAAUUCCUAUUCCAAUCACAAAUCUACAUCCAUAUCCAAUUGCCACUGGUAUCCAUCCAAAUCCAAAUUUCUCUUCACUCCAAAAGUUGUUGGCUGAAGGUGGAGAAUGUUGUUCCAGUCCACAUUUCUCGGUCAAGGGAAAUCCACAUAAUCCUAUGUUUCCUUCAUAGGAAUCAUUUGAAAAUGUAUUGAACUGCUUACCUCGAGGAAUUUCUCCCAUUAGAUGGUUAUGGGAAAGAUUCAAGACUUCAAGAUUGUUAAGAUUGGUUAACUCUGCAGGAACCACACCAGUGAGUAUAUUUGAGGAAAGAUCCAAUGAUUCCAUGUUUAACAAGUUUCCUAUGGAUUGGGGAAUAGGACCUGUGAGCCUGUUAUGGGAAAGGUUAAGCCCUUUGAGUGCGUGAAGCUCUCCAAUAACAUUUAGAAUCUCUCCUUGAAACAUGUUUUGAGAUAAAUCAAUAUUCGCAAAGGCUAUUGGAAUUUUCACCAUCACAAUGUUGUUUCCUUUCACUGUAAUAGUCACAGAAUCAUAGUAUGUCAUGUCACCUACUUCCAUCCUUUGCAUGUAUUGCGAGCUACUAACCUCUACAACUUGAAUAACAUUUUUCAUGGCAUCAAAACUUUGUAUGUAAUCUUUUGGUAGCGGGCCACUGAAGUUAUUGCAUGAAAUAUCAAAAAUAAUUAAACUAGGAAAUGGAUUCUUGAUAUUUAUAUUAGCAACUGGACCAUACAACCUAUUCUCUCGCAAAACCAAUACUUCCAAAUUUUGCAUAGUUUGAAGCCAUUAUGGAAAAUGGCCUUCUAGUUUGUUGCCACCAAGAUUUAAUGCCUCCAAGUAUUCGCAGUUUGACAAAGAUUUAGGCAAAACGCCUUCUAAUAGGUUUCCAUUGAGAUUCUGUGUACGAAGGUCACAAUUCUUUGAAAAGUUACUUGGUAAAGUGCCAUAGAAUUUGUUCAUUUGUAGAUCCAAGACUUGAAGGGAUGAUAAUUUGGCAAGACAUUGCGGAAUGAUUCCUUUCAAAUUGUUGUGUGCCAAGUUGAGCAAUUCAAGUGAACUUUUAUUGCAAAUUGACAAAGAGAUGUCACCAGCUAGCAAGUUAAAACUAAGAUCAAGGUCGAUUAGGUUGUGCCAAUGAUUCCUUGUGAAUUGGUCCAUUGAUGUGAACAAGUUCUGAGAGAGGCCCAAAUAUUCUAAUGAAUCUAUUUCUAGCAACCAAUUGGGCACUCUUCCAAAAAUUUUGUUGUCGGACAAAUCAAGAUAUGUCAAACUAGGGAAUUUUCCUGAGGAUAAUUUUGAAAAUCCAAUAAAACCAGCAGAAGACAAUUCCAAUGUUGAUAGGAUAGAGAAAUUGUAAUUAACAUUGGAUUCAAAGUUUAGUGAUAAUUGACUAUUAUAUGAAAGAGACAAAGAAUCCAAUUUUUGAAGUUUGGAAAAGUCUUGAAAAUUGACAACACCACUCAAGUUGUUUGAUGAUAGACAUAGUAUAGUUAGGUUUGCAAGGUUGAAAAUAGAUUCCGGAAUUUCACCUUGUAGCUUGUUGCUGCAUAGGUUUAGAUUCUGCAAAGAAUAUGAUGAGAUUGCACUUAUAUUUCCUGUAAAUUGAUUAGUUGAUACAUCCAACACACUCAAAGAUGGUAAAGAUAAACACC